UGACCACCCAAAACGCUGGGUUAAGGCCAUACGGACAGCCGGGUCAACUGCCGA
Molecule: small RNA, 54 nt
Filed under: chicken gut metagenome
Description: Streptococcus sRNA SpF59 (ldcC RNA)
Rfam family: Streptococcus sRNA SpF59 (ldcC RNA)
Source: RNAcentral